Molecule: long non-coding RNA, 317 nt
Filed under: Nicotiana benthamiana
Lineage: Eukaryota; Viridiplantae; Streptophyta; Magnoliopsida; Solanales; Solanaceae
Description: long non-coding RNA (NBEN_LNC038386)
Source: RNAcentral
ACAAUCUAAAAAAUUCCCCAAAAAUUCCAGUGUGACGACCCGACCCGUCGUCUCAUGUGUUACUGCUCCAUUUUCUCCGUUUUAUGCUUCUUCAUUAUCAGUACGUGGUGUGUUAGAGUUGAUUUCGAUUGGUAUUGGUGAAAAAUGAGAUACUUAGUCUCUUUAAGGAAGGUUUAAAUUCGAAAAGUCAAUCGGACAUUGACUUAUGCGUUAUAGGGCUCGGAUGUGAUUUAUGAUGAUUCAAUUAGCUUCAGGUGGUAAUUUGUGAUUUAGGAGUGCGAUCGAAAUUAAUUUUGUAGGUCCGGUGUAGAACUAGG